RNAcentral lists this ribosomal RNA (460 nucleotides) under uncultured bacterium. RNAcentral's name for it is "partial 16S ribosomal RNA". It matches the Rfam family "Bacterial small subunit ribosomal RNA", at positions 338 to 795 of the family's 1533-position model. The record is from RNAcentral.
CCUACGGGUGGCAGCAGUGAGGAAUAUUGGUCAAUGGACGUGAGUCUGAACCAGCCAAGUAGCGUGAAGGAUGACUGCCCUAUGGGUUGUAAACUUCUUUUAUAUGGGAAUAAUAUGUUCCACGUGUGGAAUUUUGUAUGUACCAUAUGAAUAAGGAUCGGCUAACUCCGUGCCAGCAGCCGCGGUAAUACGGAGGUUCGGAGCGUUAUCCGGAUUUACUGGGUUUAAAGGACGCGUAGGUGGGUUGUUAAGUCAGUUGUGAAAGUUGGGGGCUCAACCGUAAAAUUGCAGUUGAAACUGGCAGUCUUGAGUACAGUAGAGGUGGGCGGAAUUCGUGGUGUAGCGGUGAAAUGCUUAGAUAUCACGAAGAACUCCGAUGGCGAAGGCAGCUCACUGGACUGCAACUGACACUGAGGCUCGAAAGUGUGGGUAUCAAACAGGAUUAGAUACCCUAGUAGUC